RNAcentral lists this small RNA (29 nucleotides) under Bombyx mori (domestic silkworm). Its description in RNAcentral is "ovarian small RNA-25634". Lineage: Eukaryota; Metazoa; Arthropoda; Insecta; Lepidoptera; Bombycidae. The record is from RNAcentral.
UCAGAUAUUAAACGACCAUCUGCAGCCUU